RNAcentral lists this ribosomal RNA (369 nucleotides) under Prasinoderma singulare. RNAcentral's name for it is "partial Bacterial large subunit ribosomal RNA". It matches the Rfam family "Bacterial large subunit ribosomal RNA", at positions 1293 to 1664 of the family's 2925-position model. Lineage: Eukaryota; Viridiplantae; Prasinodermophyta; Prasinodermophyceae; Prasinodermales; Prasinodermaceae. The record is from RNAcentral.
AAUGCUGACAUGAGUAACGACAAAGGGGGUGAAAAACCCCCUCGCCGGAAGACCAAGGUUUCCUGCCCCAUGCUAAUCAGGGCAGGGUUAGUCGGCCCCUAAGGUGAGGCUGAAAAGCGUAAUCGAUGGGAAACGGGUUAAUAUUCCCGUACUUGUUGUAACUGCGAUGGAGGGACGGAGUAGGCUAGGCGAGCGCAGCGUUGGUUGUCUGCGUUUAAGCUAGUAGGCUGAGAUCUUAGGCAAAUCCGGGAUCUUAAGGCUGAGAGGUGAUGACGAGUCCUCUUUUGGACGAAGUCGUUGAUGCCAUGCUUCCAAGAAAAUCUUCUAAGCUUCAGGUUACAACAAACCGUACCCCAAACCGACACAGGU